This 433-nucleotide ribosomal RNA is filed under the name uncultured bacterium. Its description in RNAcentral is "partial 16S ribosomal RNA". It matches the Rfam family "Bacterial small subunit ribosomal RNA", at positions 29 to 507 of the family's 1533-position model. The record is from RNAcentral.
AACGAACGCUGGCGGCAUGCCUAACACAUGCAAGUCGAACGAGACCUGCGGGUCUCGUGGCGCACGGGUGCGUAACGCUUGGUAACCUGCCCUUAGGUUCGGAAUAACUCCCCGAAAGGAGUGCUAAUACCGGAUAAUGCCUUCGGACCACAGAUUUAUCGCCUUUGGAUGGGCGCGCGUUUGCUUAGCUAGUUGGUAGGGUAAAAGCCUACCAAGGUGACGAUCCAUAGCUGGUCUGAGCGGAUGAUCAGCCACACUGGGACUGAGACGCGGCUCAGACUCCUACGGGAUGGGGCAGUGGGGAAUAUUGGAAAGCGGGCGAAAGGCUGAUCCAGCACUGGCGGGAGAGUGAUGAAGUCCUUAGGGUUGAAAAGCUCUUUUACCCGGGAUGAUAAUGACGGUACCGGGAGAAUAAGCACCGGCUAACUACGUG